AUGAUGAAAGCGUUGGUGGAAGAACGGUGACUGACGACGGACGGACUGA
Molecule: small nucleolar RNA, 49 nt
Filed under: Pyrobaculum calidifontis JCM 11548
Lineage: Archaea; Thermoproteati; Thermoproteota; Thermoprotei; Thermoproteales; Thermoproteaceae
Description: PCAsR25
Source: RNAcentral